This 528-nucleotide ribosomal RNA is filed under the name Triticum aestivum (bread wheat). RNAcentral's name for it is "partial small subunit ribosomal RNA". The record is from RNAcentral. Lineage: Eukaryota; Viridiplantae; Streptophyta; Magnoliopsida; Poales; Poaceae.
AUGGUCCUAGUGGACAAGCCGCCGUCCUAUGGAGGUGUGCACAACAUCGGAGAUGGCGCCUCGUGGAAGACAUGCUACCACGAGGAGCCAGAGGAAAGAAGGAAGAGACGGUUGGUCAUCACUCAGCAGAGCAUCGAUGAGAAGGUCGCGAUUGCGGUCAAUAAGACCAAAGUUGAGACCAAACAAGAGUUGCUCGGGGUAGUCAAUGCAGCGGUCACUGACGUGGUGGUCAGCUUGAUUCCGGCAAUUUUCGAUUGGUCAAAGAGCAAUCCAAGUACACGGCCGAAGGACUUUCCCCUUCCAAGCUUUGUCGGGAGAAAUUCGGCAAACACCACAGCACUAACACCUGCCCAAGCAACCGCAAAAGGUCCCGUUCCUAUUCAUAGAACCCAACCUCCGUCUCUACCAUGCUCGGCGGGCCUUCAUCGCUGGCUAAGCUCGACGCCCUCAUGGUCGACGGCACCCCGCGCACCCUACUCUAUGACUUCAAGGGCCAGAAGGUGGCCUUGGGAAAGGCAACGAUCGUGA